AGGACGAACGCUGGCGGCGCGCCUAACACAUGCAAGUCGAGCGAGAACCAAGACUUCGGUCUUGGGGACAGCGGCGAACGGGUGAGUAACACGUGGAUAACCUGCCCUCGGCACCGGAAUAGCCCGGGGAAACUCGGAUUAAUGCCGGAUAGCCCCACAGCCCGCAGGGGCGGUGGGAAAAGGUAGCUUCGGCCUCUGGCCGAGGAUGGGUCCGCGGCGGAUUAGCUAGUUGGUGGGUAACGCCCACAAGGCGACGAUCCGUAGCUGGUCUGAGAGGACGAACAGCCACACUGGGACUGAGACACGGCCCAGACUCCGUACGGGAGGCCAGCAGGUGGGAAUAUUGCGCUAAGUGGACGGGAAACCGUGACGCAGGCGACGCCGCGUGGAGGGAAGAGGCCUUACGGUGUAAACCUCUUUACGAGGAGGAAGAGCGUACGUCGGUAAUACGACCGAGGAGGUGACGGUACUACG
Molecule: ribosomal RNA, 474 nt
Filed under: uncultured soil bacterium
Lineage: Bacteria
Description: bacterial SSU rRNA
Rfam family: Bacterial small subunit ribosomal RNA
Source: RNAcentral